Molecule: ribosomal RNA, 452 nt
Filed under: uncultured bacterium
Lineage: Bacteria
Description: bacterial SSU rRNA
Rfam family: Bacterial small subunit ribosomal RNA
Source: RNAcentral
AAUCGGAAUAAUCGGCAAUGGGCGAUAGCCUGACCGUGCAACGCCGCGUGAGCGAUGAAGGCCUUCGGGUUGUAAAGCUCUGUGUUGUGGGAAGAACAACUGGUAGGUGAAUAAUUUAUCAGUCUGACUGUACCAUAAUAGAAAGCCCCGGCUAACUUACGUGCCAGCAGCCGCGGUAAUACGUAGGGGGCAAGCGUUGUUCGGAAUCACUGGGCGUAAAGGGCGUACAGGUGGUCAUGUAAGUCUGAUGUGAAAUUCUUGGGCUCAACCUGAGAUCUGCAUUUGAUACUGCAUGACUUGAGAUCAGGAGAGGAGAGUGGAAUAUGUGGUGUAGCGGUGAAAUGCGUAGAUAUCACAUAGAACACCAGUGGCGAAGGCGGCUCUCUGGCCUGGUUCUGACACUGACGCGCGAAAGCUAGGGUAGCGAACGGGAUUAGAAACCCUAGUAGUCC